This is a long non-coding RNA of Lathyrus oleraceus (garden pea), 1146 nucleotides long. RefSeq lists it as uncharacterized. The record is from RefSeq and is a predicted model, not a curated record. The transcript is spliced from 2 exons. Lineage: Eukaryota; Viridiplantae; Streptophyta; Magnoliopsida; Fabales; Fabaceae.
UUUCACAGUACAAAAUAAAAAAAUAUAACAAUAAACGUCUCUCUUCACUCUCCUCACGAGACCACUCAUUACACACACCACUCUCAACAAAUUCAUUCACUAUCUCUCUCUCACCACUCAGACUCUCUCUAUUAACCAACAAACAAAAACUUUUUCCAGGAUUCAUCUCUCUAUCUCAGAAAAUCUUCUUUAUCUUUCUCCAAAUUCUCUCUCACCAUCAAAGCACCUCCGACCCACCUCCACAAAAUCUCCACAUGCGCCGCUAAACCACCCUUUGCCGUCAAACCCUUAAACUCACCCUCUUCACCGUUAACCCUCCGACGAAUCCCAAAACCACAACCUCAAACGACCGCCGUUUCUUUUCCAAUCCUUUCACAACCGCCGUCCUAUUCACCGCACAUCCGACCACUCACCGUGGCAGAAUCUUGUCGGUGAUAGCUCAACCUUCCAUCAUCAAUACUGUUCACAACAUCACAACACGGGUCCGUCACCGUCAUCUGGGACAACGACACGCAAACGACCGUCAAAACCAUGACCUCACGCAUUCGCCGUUGAUCUUCUUCCACCAAACCGAAAACAACUCAGUGGUGCCAUAGGAUAUCAAACAAGGACGAUGCCACUUGCUUCAAUUUUGUUUUGGACAAUUUCAAGUUAGAGGGUUUUCUUUGAUCGGUUCGCUGCUGGUUUUUGUUUGGUUGUUUAUGCAGGUAAGGGUUCUGUUAAGACUCGGAACGGAAAGAUCCAGAUUCGCUUCAUCAACGGUGCUGCAUUCGAAUGUGUUUCGGAAUAAGGGUUGGAUUUAUGUCGACAUUGCAGUAGUCCUGUAAACAAUUAAGUUGUUCUUAUUGUGGGCACCUUAUCAUGUUAGAAAUUCUGCUGCUAAAAUUUUUUCAUUUUAUGAAUGGUUCACAUAAGGCUUUGGUUUAUUAAGUAUUUGUUGUGGCACUGCUACCGUUAUGUUUCUCGGACGGGUGGUUAUGAAUAUCAUGGUGAUUCUCUUUUCUUCCUUCCUUAUUCCACUUUUCUUUUUAUCUUGUUUAUGCUUUCACGUUUAAGGUUAGUUUUGUAUAAAGUAAAAUUUGAAAGUUAAUUGUCAAGUUAUGUUAUUAGGACAUUAUCUCAUAUUAUGGUUAACUUGAUUUUUUA